Molecule: long non-coding RNA, 577 nt
Organism: Salvia hispanica
Lineage: Eukaryota; Viridiplantae; Streptophyta; Magnoliopsida; Lamiales; Lamiaceae
Source: RefSeq, a predicted model, not a curated record
GUGGAUGAACCGUGGCUGCCCGGCUAGAGCGUGAUUAACAGCGUCCCAGGUCAGGUUUCUGGCUCGUGGUGCAGUAGAUGAUCGUUCUUGGCUUGACUCCGGUCCAGUUAGGAUGAUUGGUACAUAAACUGGUGGCUUCGUGAAGCAUUCAUGAUCGCUCGUAGAUCAAGGAGACAGGUAACCACAUCUGGCCGAUGAACCAUGGCUGCCUUGCUAUAGCGUGAUUUAACAGCUCCUCAGGUUGGGUUUCCAGCUUGUUGUGCAGUAGAUGAUCGUCCAAGGCAGCUCUGACAAACAAACACAAUCUUUUUGUUUUUCAUCAUUUGUGAUUUCUGUAUUUAAUUCAGGUUUUCAUCAUUUCAUUAUCAUUGUAUAAGAGCUGUGACAUUUGAUGAGCACAUGGUCAAAUCUUCUAAAAUAGUAUUUGGCAUUAGAUUUAAGUGUUUGCCCCAGCUACUGAAUAUCCUUGAAAAUACUGUUCUUCUUUGAAGGAUAUGUAUGCCAUGUAUUUGACUCGAGGGUUAUCGACACCAAAAUACAUUAAAGGAAUCAAAAUGUGAACUAAAUUUUUCUAUCA